RNAcentral lists this long non-coding RNA (1308 nucleotides) under Ananas comosus (pineapple). Its description in RNAcentral is "long non-coding RNA (ACOM_LNC023424)". The record is from RNAcentral. Lineage: Eukaryota; Viridiplantae; Streptophyta; Magnoliopsida; Poales; Bromeliaceae.
AACUCUGAAAUAUGUUGCAUUUUUAGGAAUCGAAGCAUAUAAUCUCCAAAGACAUCCUUCAACCGUGCAUUUUACUGUAUAAGUUGUUUUGGUGGAUUUCAAAACCUUCAUCUGAACAUUGUGAGCGAUGUGCCAUUGAUCUAGCGCGGCCACUAAAGAUGCCUUAUCCUAAAAGCCAAGUCCCGUCAAUGCUAGGUAGAUCAGUAUUGGUACGUCUAACAUCGAAUUCAUUCGAAUUUACAACAUAUUGAUUUAUCUAAUUGUUAUCUGUAGGAAAUUGCUCCGGAUGGUCAAUAAAAUCAAGUUCUUCAUCAGAAUUGUCUACAUAUUCGUUGUUUACAUGCGGGUCGUCAUGAACACUGUAAAUGGCAUUCGCAAGGCAAUUUAAUCCUCCAUCGUGAUCAUCCUCAACGUCAUCAGCUAGAUCAUUCCAAUCGUCGUCCUCAUUGGGGUAAUGAUCAUUAUUAUGAAUGGGUGCAUCAUCCUGAUUACCGUCAUUAUCAUCUCCUUCAUCGACAAUAUUAUCAAGAACUUCAUUUCAAUUUUCAUAGGACGUAAAAAGCCUGCAAUGGGUUCCGAAUUUUUACUAUAUUAGGUACAUUUUCACUUACUAUCAAUUUAAAAAGAAUCAAUUUUCUUUACUCCCAAUCAAAAUUUUCAUUAGGUGCAUGAAAUAUCAUGGAUUGUGCACGUGAGGUCGAGAGUUCCGCACGUGGAGAUUGACUUUGUCUGCAAUAUUUACAUUUUAAAUUUAUCAAAAUAUUAAAUAAUUAAAUAAAAUAUUCACCGAAAUCUAGAGAUAUCACUUACCUUGAGGUCGAGGGUUCAUUACUAACUUCGCGGUCACCAAUUAGAUUAUCCGAAAAACCCACAUCGAUAUCAUUAUGAACCAGUCUUGUGUAAUGGCCUUGCGACUGAUAUUGUGUCUCUGAUGGAUAUAAAUCUUUCUCGAUGUAUACCGACACACAUCCAGAAUUUUUAAACAAUCCAAUUAAACCCUCCAAUGAUUCAUCAUCUACUAUAUCGUGAGUUAUAUAUUCAUUCACUCCCGUAGGGCAUCGAAUAGUGAAUUUAAGACUAAAUUAUUCUCUAUUACAAUUUACUAAGCCAUACAUUCUCAUCUCAAAAUGAGUAUAUGUCGUAUCUGAACGAAUCGCGAUUAAUUUCUUUCGACCGCCGACAUAUCGGGGACCAUUUCCAUCCGUAAUUAACUGUCCAUCCUAAUGAACACUAAGAGAUAUCCGACGACUAGUCAUUUUAACUACACAUAAAAAAUUUUUCUAAUCUCCUCUCAAAAUAUCUAGUGAA